GAGGGUAUAGCUCAGUGGUACAGCACAUACAUAGCAUGCAUAAGGUCCUGGGUUCAAUCCUCAGUACCUCCU
This 72-nucleotide transfer RNA is filed under the name Camelus bactrianus (Bactrian camel). It matches the Rfam family "tRNA". From Rfam's summary of the family: Transfer RNA (tRNA) molecules are approximately 80 nucleotides in length. Their secondary structure includes four short double-helical elements and three loops (D, anti-codon, and T loops). RNAcentral also lists the same sequence under 2 other names. The record is from Rfam by way of RNAcentral. Lineage: Eukaryota; Metazoa; Chordata; Mammalia; Artiodactyla; Camelidae.